UCAGCUCCCAUGUUCCAGUGAGAUUGUUUACAGAGUUCACACCAGAUUUGUGAAACAGGGAUUCCUUUUUGAGCUUUGAGAGUCGACAAAAGAUUUAAAAAAAGUUACUUGUACAGUGUUUUAUAAGGUUGUAACUGCACCGGUCCAAUGAAAUAAUGGCCACGCAACAUACAGAUGUCCUUGAAGAUUUAUUUUUAUUUCUCUCUCUCCUUCUUCAGUAGACACCGUGAAAACUACAAGAGAAUAAAAGUCAUAAAAGGCAGAUCCACCGUAUGAGGAAUUGAUGGAUGAACCAAGAUUGUGCUGUUCCCAUCACACAUUAAACUAUUGAUCAGGAGACCAG
This is a long non-coding RNA of Mobula hypostoma (lesser devil ray), 343 nucleotides long. RefSeq lists it as uncharacterized. NCBI's taxonomy places the organism in Eukaryota, Metazoa, Chordata, Chondrichthyes, Myliobatiformes, Myliobatidae. The transcript is spliced from 3 exons. The record is from RefSeq and is a predicted model, not a curated record.